UUUCUUUUUCUGCAUCCGCUGCUCUGUUAAGUGAUCACCACAUUAAUUGUUCUCGUUUCUGUUAUUUCUGAAAAAAAUCUUCAGGAUUCUGCUUGUGGGAGUGGAUGACAUUCUUAUAGUAUAUACAGGCUGAAAAUUUUUUGAACUUUUAUGCUCUGCUUCCGUUAUAAAGAGGAGGCCUCACAAUCAUGGUGGAAGGCAAGGAGGGAGCAAGUCACAUCUUAUGUGGAUGGCAGCAGGCAAAGAAAGCUUAUGCAGACACAAAAUGAACAAGAUGUCUGUGGCAACCCUCAGGCCAUUGACGCCUUCUCUCCUAUGUAUCAAAUCACACAUUUGGACUUUGACUGAACCCUUACAUGUCAGAUGCUCAAUCUUGAGGUAUAGUAAAAGGGAGCAUGAACUUGAGAAAAUACGCUUUCAACACAAAGCUGUAAUAAUAUAAGGUCAAAUCAGGUUCUGCUUUGGAGACAGAAAACUCUGAAGCAAGCUUUGUCUAUUCCAGAAUGUCAUAUAGCUGGUAUAAGGUUCAGGGGGCCUAUGUACAGGUUUGUUACAUGGGUGU
RNAcentral lists this long non-coding RNA (562 nucleotides) under Pongo abelii (Sumatran orangutan). RNAcentral's name for it is "lincRNA". The record is from RNAcentral. Lineage: Eukaryota; Metazoa; Chordata; Mammalia; Primates; Hominidae.